GGAGGGUUAGCCAAGUGGUUAAGGCGGAAGUUUGCAAAACUUCUACGCACCGGUUCGACUCCGGUACCCUCCUC
This 74-nucleotide transfer RNA is filed under the name Spirochaetota bacterium. RNAcentral's name for it is "Spirochaetes bacterium tRNA-Cys". It matches the Rfam family "tRNA". Rfam says of the family: Transfer RNA (tRNA) molecules are approximately 80 nucleotides in length. Their secondary structure includes four short double-helical elements and three loops (D, anti-codon, and T loops). Lineage: Bacteria; Pseudomonadati; Spirochaetota. The record is from RNAcentral.